This 210-nucleotide unclassified non-coding RNA is filed under the name Hevea brasiliensis (rubber tree). Lineage: Eukaryota; Viridiplantae; Streptophyta; Magnoliopsida; Malpighiales; Euphorbiaceae. The record is from RNAcentral.
AAUACCUAAAUUACAUAGGUAUUUCCACUUAUCCUUCCUGCAUCAAUUUGGCUGUUUUGACUUGGCUUGAAAAAUCUUGGUUUUCAGUUUGGAAUAGAAUAUAAUGUUAAAAAUAAACUUUCAUGCUGGUCUUGCAGAGACUGAAUCUGUGUCAGUUAAUGUGUUGGAGAAGAAGGUAACUCUUAUUUGUAGAUAUCCUGGUGUUAAAGU